Hydra vulgaris (swiftwater hydra) is the source of this 697-nucleotide long non-coding RNA. RefSeq lists it as uncharacterized. The record is from RefSeq and is a predicted model, not a curated record. Lineage: Eukaryota; Metazoa; Cnidaria; Hydrozoa; Anthoathecata; Hydridae.
UGUAAAAAUUUUUUAAUUGUAAAAUUGCUACAUGAGAAGACAAGUUGUUAGAUGAAAUUCAAAUAUUCUCUAUGUUUGUGUUGUGUAGGUCAAAAAAUAAUAAACAAAGAUGAUAUUGAUUGUGAUGACCAAGAGAUUCAUUUUAAGACGCAUCAAUCUUCAUCAUCUUUAAAUAAAAAGGAUAAACAUUAUGGAUUUCCAUUAUCUCAAGCAAACUUUCAAUAUUAUGUGUUGCUUCUCUUAAAUGAGAUAAAAACCCAAGGAUGCAAAAAACUUUAUAUAAAAUAGUGUGAAGAAGAAGUAGUAACUGAAAUGAACAGCAUAAUAGAAUUUGAUAAGUUUGACUCAGCACUUGACAAUGUUUCAUCUAGUAACUCAGUAGUAUCUCUGCAGUUGUAAAUUGCUAAAUACUGAUUUGACAGAAACAAAGAGUUCAAAAUAUUAGUGGUAAGAACUGUCAAAAACUUGUGAUAGCUAUGAAGAAGAGAUUUAUGACAAAUUCGCUCAUGGCCAAAUCUAAUAUGGCAGCUGGAAAAGGCAAAGGAUCUUUUUAGCCUAACUAAGCUAUACAACUUAAUAAAAGUUUGUGCAUCGACUUCUCACGAAUCAUACACAGAGUCGAUUGUCGAUGCAAUAAUUGCUGAUUCGUGAAAACGGGCAACUUUUGCUUGUCUUUUAAGUACCUUAAAUCCAUCGU